UUUUUUUUUUUUUUAAUUUUAAGAGAUGGGAUUUCACUGUAUCGCCCAGGCUGGAGAGUGCAGUGGCAUAAAUCAUAGCUCACUACAGUCUUAAACUGCUGGGUUCAAGCCAUCCUCCUACCUCAGCUUCCUGAGUAGAUGAAACUGCAAGCACAUACCAUCAUGCUCAGCUACUUAAAAAAAAAAUUUUGUUGCAGACAGGGUUGUGCUCUGUUGCCCAGGUUGGUCUCAAACUCCUGGCCUCAAUCAAUCCUCCCAAAGUGCUGAGAUUACAGGCAUGAAAGACCCUUUUGAUCACACCUGAAUUUACGCUAAUCAGAUGACUAAGGGUAGGACCCCUAGAUAGCUUCAGGAUGGAACUGAUCACCAGAAAGAUCAAGUGAUUAGAAGGUUGGAAUUUUCAGCCCCACUCACUGACCUCUGGGGUGUGGGGGUGGGGUGGAGAUUGAGCUUUAUAAAAACUCUUGAACAACAAGAUUCCAUGAGUUUCCAGAUUGGUGAACAUAUUGAUGUGCUGGGAGAGUGGGCACCUGGAGAGGGCAUGGAGGCUUUAUACCACCCCUACAGCUAGCCCUGUACACCUCUUCUAUUUGGCUGUUUCUGAGUGGCAGUCUUGUGGGACCGGGCCCUUAACCUGUGGGCUCUGAUACUAACUCCAGGACUUAGUGUCAGAAUUGAAUUAAAUUUGGGGACACUUAAUUGGUGUUGAAGAAUUGAAUAGAGAAUUGUUAUAGGAAACCCACAUACCUUUGGUGGCAGAAUUACCCAUUUCUUAUAUUCCAGGUUUUUCCCUUUUUUUUUUUUUUUGGUUUUUGGAUUAUCUGUUCACUUUUCUAGAGCAUAUCCUUCCUGAGAAAAGAAUGGAUGUGUACAUUUUGAGUCCUUCUAUGUCUGUAUUCUGUCUUCAAAUGUGACUGCAAAUUUGACUGAAUUGAGUAGAGUUGCCGCAUAUGGUUGUAAAGAUUAUGCACUGCAAAACCCUAGGGGGUCAUUUUUAUUCAAAGUGUUUUAAAAAUGCGAACCAAAACCGAAAAGCUCUAGGGGAUGUCAUUCACUGCAUGUUGGUUUGGAUUGAAUAUUACUUUCCAGAAUUUUGAAGGCAUUUUCUCAUUUCUUCUAGCUUGCAAUGAUAAUGUUAAAAAGCCUGACGUCACUGUGAUCGUCUUCUUUUCCUCUUCUUUCAAUGUGUACUGUUUUCUUCAUCUCCCUUCACCCACUUCCAUGCCUCUCUCUCCUUUUUCUCCACAAACUUAAAAAAAGAUUCUCUUUAUCUCUAGCGUUCCAAGAUUUCACAACAAGGUAACUUGGUGUGGGCAUUUUCUCAACUUUUCGCAUGGACUCUGUUGGUACUUUCAAUCUGAAGACUAAUAUUCUUCCAUUCUGGGAGAUUUUCUUCAAUUAAUUUUUGGUAGUUUCCUCCCCUCAGUUCUCUCUGUGGCCUUCUCUAAAUCUUCUAUUAGUUACAAAGUGAGCCUCUUAGACUUAAUCUCCUCUUCUUUUUGUUAAUAGUUUCUCCUGUCUUUUAUCUCUUUAUGUUUUUUAUUUCCUAAACUUCCUCAACUUCCAACUCUAUUUAAAUUUUUAAUUUCAGUAACAUUUAACAUAUUUAAAUGACUAGAAAAAAUUUUAAAAAUGUUUUGAAUUAACUAAUUUAUUUACAGAAACAUCAAUUCUUUUUUAAUUUUUAUUUUAAAUUGUAAAUUGACAAAUUAUAAUUGUAUAUAUUUAUGGGGUACAGGAUGUUAUGAUUUAUGAAUACAAUGUGGAAUAAUGGAAUCCAGCUAAUUGUCAUAUCCAUCACCUCAAAUACUUAUUUUUGUGGUGAGAACAUUUGGAAUUUACUCCCUUAGCAAUUUCUUCUUUAGUUUUAUUUUGUUUUUAAUUGACAUAACAAUCAUAUGUACUUAAGGAGUAUACUGUUUCAAUGCAUGUAUACAUUGUGUAAUGAUCAAAUCAGGGUAAUUAGCAAAUUCCUCACCUCAAACAUUAUCAUUUCAUUGUGGUGAAAACAUUAAAAAUCCUCUCUUCUAGCUAUUUUGAAAUAUACAUUAUCACUAACUAUAGUCGUCCUACUGUGCAAUAGAACAACAGAACUUGUUCCUCCUAUCUAAGUGUAGCUUACUUUGUACCUGUUGACCAACCGUUUAUCUCUAUCUCCCCUGCCGCUCUGCUUUCUCCAACCUCUGGCAACCAGUAUUCUACUCCCUACUUCUAUGACAUCAAUUUUUUAAAAUUCCUCAUAUGAAUGAGAUAAUGUGGUAUUUGUCCUAUGCUCGGUUUAUUUCACUUAACAUAGUGUCUCUAGGUUUAUUCAUGUUGUUGCAAAUGACAAGAUUUCAUUAUUUUUUAUGGCUGAAUAUUAUUCCAUUGUGCAUAUAUAUAUAUGUAUGUAUGUAUAUAUAUAUGUAUGUAUCACAUUUUAAAAAAUCCAUUCAUCCAUUGAUGACACCUAGGUUGAUUUCAUAUUUUGGCUACUGUGAAAAGUGCAGCAAUAAGCAUGGGAGUGCAGACAUCUCUUCCACAUAUUGAUUUCAAAUAUUUUGGAUAAAUAUCUAGAAAUGGAAUUGCUGGAUCAAGAAAUUUCUUUAUUUCUUUCCCAUAGUUAUCCUGUUUUUGCUUAAUGGCUACAAUAUACUUAUAUAUUUUAAUUCUCUGAGGAUAUUUAGUAUAGCAUUUUUUUAAAGUUGUCUUUGCUUCCUCUGGGUUCCUAUUUUCUGUUUGUUUAUUUUGAUCUCUCAUAUGUUAAAUGAUUCCUAAAGAAUAUGUUGAUCUUUGGCCAUCUUUCCAUGUUAAAGGCUCUAAAAUUUUAUAAGUUCUGGCCUGUGGACAGGACUUGCCAAAUAGUGGAUGAUCUGGUAAUAUAUCAGCCUUUUAAGUCAGUCUAUGGAGGUAUUUUCUCUAAAACCUUUCAGUAUUAUUUUUUGUUUUUCAACUUUUUACCUAGGAAGAACAUACCAAACUACUGGUGCUCUGGAAGGGAUAGAGAAAGGAAUCUGGGGGUCCCAAAGUCCAGUAUUAGUCCAGUAUUUAGAAUUUCAUUAAUCCCCCUGCGUGCAACCCUUUAUUUCACCUUCACUCUCUAUCACUUACAGUGUGUUUAAGACCUACUCCUCUGGUUCAGUCUCUCCAGAAAUAAGCCACGAUUGCCUGACUAGGGAUAGUCACCGAUGCACAGGAGAGGAAACAGGGGUCUAACCUCUUUGUAUACUAGCAGAUCCCUCUGGUUUCAGUGCCAUGUUUUAAUCCAUGGUGUCAUUCAUACUUGAGCCCUUCAGGUAUUCUGUAGCAAAAACAGGUUCAUUUCUUGAAUUUCAGCUAGUCUAUAGCUGAGAUCACUUUGCUUAAAUGAAUGACUUAUUUUACAAUGACCUGUGAUCUGAUUUUGUAAUAUCACACGUUUUAAACCUUUGAUAUUUGACAAACCUUCCAAAAUCAAAUUAUAAAUCAUGUCUUUUUCUGACCUAAUUAAUCCUUUAAGAUAUUAGUAACAGGUUCCCUAAAGUCCAAAAAUGACAUAUUUGCCUUAUUUGGUAUAAAAAUUAUACAGGAAGCAUUGUCAAAUAUGAAAUGGUGUUUGGUUUUCUUUGGGCUGUAUUUGUAUAAAUAUGUUAUUGGUAUGUGUUCCAAAAUUAUGGGAAACUCCUAUAAUUCUGAUAUGACUUAAUAUAUGUUAUCAGUAAUAAUUAUAAUUGUUAUGUUACAUUAUUGUAUGCCACAGAGGUAACAAAUUUCCUUGUCAAAGUGCCUUUGACUAUAGCUGCCCUAAAACUUUUUGCCAUCCAUGGACAAUUGUUAUCUUGGUUUGAUCGGUUUUAUAAUCAGCUAUAAAAUGCUAACAGGUGCUUUUUAAUGCAGGUUUCUGAUAACUUUGGAGAUUGUGACAUCAGGAUAAAAGAAAACUUUCAGGACUCAUGGAGAGCUGAAAUGUUCAUGAAUGUCAAAUAGAACAGGAAUUAACUGCAUGGACUAAACUAACAGAAGUCCAAACUUUUAAUGAAUGAGUAUACUCCUAUGAACAACAUUUGGAUCAUAUUUGUUUCUCUCUGAUUUCCACAGAAUUUGGAAACUAUUUGAAUCAAACUGACUUAUGGAGCCAAUCAAAGCCCCUUGGAAAAACUGGCCUCAUACCUUUGUCUACAGAGUUCCUGACCUGUGAGUUUAUAGUUGACAUACGCAAAAGGAUUGGAUUAAUAGAAGGUACUUCACAAUUACCUCACAACUCUCAGAAGACAAAAGGAAUAUGACAAUGGACUCAUCAUUUUCAGAUGGAGUCUCGCACUGUCACUGCAAUGGCGCGACCUCGGCUCACUGCAACCUCUGCCUCCUGCAUUCAAGCGAUUCUCCCA
This is a long non-coding RNA of Homo sapiens (human), 4346 nucleotides long. RefSeq lists it as uncharacterized. NCBI's taxonomy places the organism in Eukaryota, Metazoa, Chordata, Mammalia, Primates, Hominidae. The transcript is spliced from 5 exons. The record is from RefSeq and is a predicted model, not a curated record.